This 440-nucleotide ribosomal RNA is filed under the name uncultured bacterium. RNAcentral's name for it is "partial 16S ribosomal RNA". It matches the Rfam family "Bacterial small subunit ribosomal RNA", at positions 338 to 795 of the family's 1533-position model. The record is from RNAcentral.
CCUACGGGUGGCAGCAGUGGGGAAUAUUGCACAAUGGGGGGAACCCUGAUGCAGCGACGCCGCGUGAGUGAAGAAGUAUUUCGGUAUGUAAAGCUCUAUCAGCAGGGAAGAAAAUGACGGUACCUGACUAAGAAGCCCCGGCUAACUACGUGCCAGCAGCCGCGGUAACACGUAGGGGGCAAGCGUUAUCCGGAUUUACUGGGUGUAAAGGGAGCGUAGACGGCAGAGCAAGUCUGAAGUGAAAGCCCGGGGCCCAACUGCGGGACUGCUGUGGAAACUGCCCGACUAGAGUGCAGGAGAGGUAAGCGGAAUGCCUGGUGUAGCGGUGAAAUGCGUAGAGAUUAGGAGGAACACCAGUGGCGAAGGCGGCUUACUGGACAGUAACUGACGUUGAGGCUCGAAAGCGUGGGGAGCAAACAGGAUUAGAUACCCUUGUAGUC